UUGGUGAGUGGGUGUUGGCGCGUUUGGGCAUGUUGGAUCCCUGCUCCGGGCAGCSACAACGUAUCCUCCGCGCCUCUUCAGUUGUUGGCUAGAGCACGUGCUCUUCCGAUUUUCGGUUUUCCUGUGCUGAAUACCUAUCACGAAGGCAUUCUGUCGGCUAAAAAUGUCCCUUUCCCGCCUUGCGCUGCGAGCUCCUCGUGAACAAGCGGUGCGGGGUGGGCCAUAUCGUGCACGUCGUGUAUCGCACCGCGUUCGACCCUCCGGGGCGUUCGGGUUGACGACCCACGACGUGAUGCUCGAUAUCUCGGAUACGGAACAUCACGUGGGUACGAGGCCAUCGGCCUCCGAGCACCACAAAAAAGCGUUCUACGCUUCGUGCGAACGACCGUCGUUCCCGGCCUUGCGCCGCGCUCUCGUAGCUCGGUUCAAGUCGGGCCGACGUCGGUGAGGAAUGCUACCUGGUGGGAUCCUGCCA
Molecule: unclassified non-coding RNA, 475 nt
Filed under: Salvia verbascifolia
Lineage: Eukaryota; Viridiplantae; Streptophyta; Magnoliopsida; Lamiales; Lamiaceae
Description: external transcribed spacer
Source: RNAcentral